CGCAGACGCGUGCGCUCCCCGCCCGCUCGCUACCUACGCUGGUCCCGCCUUCCCAGUGCUUAGACGCGUGCGCACCGCCCCUCUGGAGACCGUGGCGGGUGCCGGGGGAUUCGAGGAGUUCCAGAGAACCGCGACUCCUCACCCUUUCCAGGUCACCGUGACUCAGCAUCCUCGACCUCAUCCCACUCCCCAAGGUUUGAUUAGAGAGGCUACCCUCCACAUCCCAGUGUCUGAUCACCACCGCCCCCCGCUGCCCCCGGCUGCUCCUUUCCUGGGAGAUCUGAGAAUUGGUGGGAAAUCUGGAAUAACUGAAGCUGCUGGGAAUCACAGAGGCCAAACUGCUGGAGGUGUACACUAGCGAAUGUUAAAAAGAACAUGAAACUUUUAAAAAGAAUUCCAUGGACAGAGGAGCCUGGUGGGCUACAGUCACAGAGUUGCAGAUAGCCGGACACGACUGAGUGACUUUCACUUCUGACUACUUAGGUCAUGUGUUCAUCUCUGGCUUAAGUCAUAUGUUCAUCUCUGAUUCAGUCAAGGAGGCAGAGGAAGAAACCCAAGGGUGAGAGGUAGUGGCUCUGGAUCAAGACAACAGAUAAACAGACGUCUCCUGUGAUCACUGAAAAGAGCCUGCUUGAGAAGAAGGGAGGCCGUGGCUCCUACUGUCGAGAGUCAUCAAAGGAAUCAUAGAGCAAGUAGAUGUUAUAGGAACUCAAAUAAUUCUGGGCCAGAAGUGGCAGUGACAGCAUGGUACUGGGAGGUAGGUCAGAGGAAGAGCUAAGCCUAGGACUGCAGCAGGACAUGGCCACUCCUGGAUGGAUGGCAUUUCUGGGGGAACUGGGCGAUGGAGAAGCUCAGUUUGAGUGCACAGUCCUUGGACCUCUUCUCUCUGACUACAUUGACUCCGUCUUACCCACACUCUCCUCUAGGCUCAUGACUUCAAAUGCUAUCUAUUUACUCAUGACUCCCAAGUUUUUCCUCUUGCCUGAACCAUCCCUCCUCAUUCUCCAGACAUGAACACCCAACAUCUCCACUUAGAUGUCUGAUAGGUUUUUAAAACUUGUCAAAAACAAGAUAAUGAUCUUCCCCCUAAAACUGGCAUUUCUCCAAGAUGCAAUGGCAAUUCCAGUUUUUCCAGGAAUUUGGGUAAAAAAACAGAUGUUAUCAUUGACUGUUCUUUUUCUUUCUCUUAAUUCUUCACUCCACAUAUAUAGAUCACCAGGCCCAACUCCUCCUACCUUGACACCUUCAUUCCUGGUCUGCAUUCUUGCUGUAGCAUCCUAUCUGUUGUCCUUACUUUCAUGCCUACUGAAUUGUUGGUCUGAUCCUUUGCCAUGUCCCCCCUUUGUUUAAACCUUUCAAUGGUUUCCCAUCUCUGUGGGAAUAAAACUCAAAGUUCUCACAAUAACUUCUUGCUUUCGUUCCCUCUCUGACGUCAUCCUCUAUCACUCUCCCCUCCUUCACUCCGCUCCAGUCACACUCGCCUCUUGCUGUUGCUAAAAUAUCAGCGUGCUUUCCUUAGGAAUUUUGCAGCUCCUCUUCCCUUUGCCUGAACACUUCUCCCCCAGAUUUCCAAGUGGCUUGCUUUCUCACCUUCUUCAGGCUUUUGCUGAAAUGUCACCUCCUUAGUGAGUUUCGCCUUGACCAUUCUAUUCAGAAUUGCAUCUUCUAUUCCCAGCACCCUUUUCAAUUUCCCUUUUCUCAGUAGCACUUACCAGCAUCUGAUAAGCCGUAUAUUUUACUUGUCACCUAAACGUCCCGAACACCUGGAACACUGCCUGUAACACAGAAGGUUUUGGAGGGAGUUGUGUCAAGUGAAUGAAUGAAUGAACGAAUAAACUAAUGAAGCAGGCAGAAGCUCGGCCUCUGUUCCCCAAUCAAUUCCAGGCAGAGGCUGGCAGAGUAGCAGUAGACCAAGUGGCUGCCAGUUAGCAAGGAGAGAAGAGCUGAGGCUCCGGAUCCUCGGCUGUGGGCUUGGUUGCCCCCGGGGCGCGGACGGAGG
This is a long non-coding RNA of Dama dama (fallow deer), 1999 nucleotides long. RefSeq lists it as uncharacterized. The transcript has 5 exons. Lineage: Eukaryota; Metazoa; Chordata; Mammalia; Artiodactyla; Cervidae. The record is from RefSeq and is a predicted model, not a curated record.